AAGUCGUAACAAGGUUUCCGUAGGCGAACCUGCGGAAGGAUCAUUAAAAGUGAUUGGUUAUACAUUUCAUGUAUCAACUGCAUUAACCCAUUCCGAGUACCUUUGCCUUGUUGGCUUCCAUGGGGCCUGACCUAGGUCACUCUUCGUGAUGUGCAAACCCAAGAGAGUCCCCAAUGGGAGGUAAUCAAUUAAAUUCAUGUAUCCAAUGUCUUCUGAUUCAUAGAACUGUUUAUAACAAAUGUUAAAA
Molecule: unclassified non-coding RNA, 247 nt
Filed under: plant metagenome
Description: partial contains small subunit ribosomal RNA and internal transcribed spacer 1
Rfam family: Eukaryotic small subunit ribosomal RNA (bases 1-46)
Source: RNAcentral